GAGAUUAGAGAGGCUCGGGUUGCUCUUAUAGUGGUACAUGAGGGGAACCAUUCUAGCAGCAUUGAGACAAAAAUUGGAAAAUGAUGAUGAAAACUGAUUUGUGACCAGAAUUUCUUGAUUGAGACAUUUCCAUUCAUUUGAAAUCAUGUGAGCAACAUGUCGUUGCACGUCUUCACUGGAAAUAUCUUGGUGUUCACUCAUGUAGCAAUCAAGGUAUGACCCAUCAAGACCAUUUUGAUCUCCACUCUGCAUUCAUCCAUGAUAACUCUUAUCAUUAGAACUUUACAUUUAACAAUCGAGUUAAGUGGUUGAACAAUUUAAUCGAAUACUUGUUUAAUAUUCUAAUUUAGGAGACAUAUUUCUUACCUUAGCUCCUUCUAAAUCAUCAGAGAGACGAAGAAUUUUUGCCACUGAAUAUAUAACAUUUGGGAAAUUUUCAUCCAAGAUAUCAAUUGUCUCCUUUGUUAUACCACUAACAUGAUCCAAAAGGAAGAAUGCAUGUUCAAGCACAACAUGCACUCCAGUGCUCACUAUUCCAUUGUUUAAGUAAUCCUCUGCUUUUGGUAAGUGACCAGAAUUCAACCAAUGAGCCUCUUCCAUGAAAGCGUUCAAUAAGCGUAUCCACUGUUUCACGCAAAUAUUAUUAUAUAAUCAGCCGUUUGAAAAAAAUAAUUUAUAUAUAUGAUGAAAUAAAAAAGACGGAUAGUAAGUGUACCGAUUUUUUGAGUGUGUCUAUAGGGUUAAAUCCAUGCUUCUUGUAGACAUUUUCAGCAAAUUUAUUGGUAAUGUCGUAAAGUGCAUUCAAAGAUAUUUUCAUGAAGUUUGGAAGUUGCUCUGUGCCAGUGGUUUCCCACCUGAAUCAAAAAUCAUUUCAUAGUAAGUAUUAGAGUGAAGCAUCAAUGUAAUAUUUGUAUAUCUUUGCAUAGGUAUAUGUAUGUAUUAACUAACUAAUGAGAUGUAUAAAUUUAUUCAAAAUUGAAUACCUGUUAAUAGCAUCUGUGAAUAUUGUAAGUUGAUCCAAUGUCCCGUGAACAUCGAAAAUGUCGUCAAUAACAUAAAUUAAAGAGAUGGGUUUUGUGAGCUCAAUCCUUUGUUCUGAAAAGUUUGGAUCUGUAAAGCAUGCCAUAGGCCAUGUGUACCAUUUCAGAGGUUGAUACCCUGAAAACUUCACCUCCUUGUCUAGUCCAAGUUCUUUCCACCAUCUAUUAAAUGAGGGUAUAGUUACGUUAGUUACCCCUAUGUAAAAUUUGAAUAAUUAUAAAGUCAACAUCUAUUUUUAACCAGAAAACAUACUUGGAAACUUCAAUGGUUUCAUUCUGGUUCAUGAACCUAACUAUGCCAGAAUUGAUUUUAGCAAGUUCCUCUAAACAUAUCAAAUCCUUCUCAGCCUUCAAAUCAUGCAUGAAUGUGUUUUUAUCCAUAAAUCUUGACAAUCCAUAGUGAAGUGGAUUCUGAAGAGUGUUUGCAACAUAUAAAGCAUCCUUAUGUUCUUGGUUUCUUGACAACCAUGCAUGUAGAAGCUCACAGCAGAGAUAUCCUACAUCGUUAAGACUAUCUUCUCCUUCAAUACUUAGUUGCGAUGCUUCGUAAAGGGCAAUGAGACCUUUCACAUCCUCACCAUGUUUUUCUUCAAACAUUCUUUUGUUACACUUCAAGCUGUCAAAUAAAUCUACACAACAAUUAUAGUUAGUCAUUUUAUUACUAAAUAUAUAUAUUCAAUUUUGGAGAGGAUCUGUAUUAAACAAACCUGCAUUUACGUAAUGGCCUCCUUGUCUCAGCAAGCGGAAUGCAAGUGCAACUUCAUAGAGUUCAUGGCUACUCACAAAAUCAAUUAUAGGAUUGGUGUUCAAUAUCAAAUGCAGAUUUUCAAGAGCCACUUUUAUUUCCUCAGCAAAAUAGUGCUCAAUACCAAACCUUUGGAUAAUAUCCAUCAAAUAAAAACUCUCCAUCGGAUCUUCGAUUUUAACAAGUUUCUUAUAAACUUGCUUAAAUAUUAAAGCUUGUUUGACAUAUACAACAUCCUAAAAUUGUAAGAGUGCAGAUUGAUCAGAAUAUUGAAAUAAAGCUAUAUAUGUUGUAACUAAAUUUAGAAUAGCUGUAUAUAUUCGUACUUCAAUUAAAAUACUUACCAUUCUAGAAAUUAAUGCUUUGAUAGUAAAUUAAAACAGACUCGCACUAGUACAGAAAACACUUUUUAAAUCAGGUAAAAAUGACUUUUUAAAUCGGUUCAAGAUCCGACUUAUAGGUGGCCGAUUUAAAAAACUGUCUUUGAUAGCUGGGGAUAUUGUUAAGAUAUGAAGUGGUUUGCUAUAGCUCAAGAAAGAUGGUUAUUUAUAGCUGAACAUUGCACAUAGUUGAUAUUUGUUAGUUUGAGCUACUGAAUGAUUGAAGGUCAGCAUAUGUAUGCUGCAUAUGUGUAUUGUAAGACAUUAAUUUAUUAGUUAUAGUUUGCCAAUGCUUGUUAUAGUAUGUUGCAUAUGUGUAUUGUAACACAUUAUUUUAUUAGUAGUUUUUCUUUUGUAAGACAUUAAUUUAUUAGUUAUAGUUUUCCAAUGCUUGUUAUAGUAUGCUGCAUAUGUGUAUUGUAACAUAUUAUUUUAUUAGUUAUAGUUGGGCAAUGCUUGUUAUAGUAUGUUGCUGAUGUGCUGUUGUCUAUUCAUGACUAUUUAACAUUAAUUAAAUAACAACGAUUAAUUUAAAGGAGAACAUGUUUCUUAUAUUCCAUGUUUAUUUUGUGAGGAACUUUAGAUCAAUCUUAAUUUAUUGCUUAUAUAUAUUGAACGUCCAAAUGUAAUAUAAUAUGUUUAGUCGAUCGUGCAAGUAGUAAAGGUCAAGAAGCCACGUUGGUUCAUUUUUCUUCAUUUUUUGGUAAACACGUGAUUGUAUGCAGCUUGGGACACGAUACUAAAUAUGGACACUUCUUACAAUUCAAAUUUGAAUUUUAUCCCGUCAUGCUGUGAGAGGCUAAGCGCUUGUGCUUUACCAAACUUCCUUUGUUUUUUUCUUUUUCUUAUAAAAUAGUAGUAAUAUGUUGAAUCAAGAAUGACAUAUUAAAAACUUAUUUGGUGUUGGUUUCAAGAAUGACAUAUUUUUAAUUUCGAGAAUAGUAUAACUACAUAGAUUAAAUUUGAAGAAUUCAUAUAAACCUCUUCAAUUCCAGUUUUGAGUUCCUCCAAAUCAGGAGGAUUUUGUAUUACGAAGAAAAUGAACCCUUCGAAGUCUUUUACUCUCAAUGUCAUCUAUUUAUUCCUCCCGGAUCUUCCUUUUUCUCCAAACCUCUCCCCUCCCUUCCCCCAAACUCGCAAACAAUGCCUCGAUGAAUUAGAGAGAAAGAAGUAUAUGAAAGACACUUGUUAUUAAAUUAGAGAGAAAGAAGUAUAUGAAAUACACUUGUUAUUGAAUGACAUUGUUGAGGGAAGAAGUGGUUGUUAAAACUGUGUAUUACCCCUUUUAUAGAGGAGGAUAACAUUCACUAACCGUAGUUACUUGUAUGGCAAGUAACCAUUCAAAUUAACAACCUUGUAAGCAACAUCUACUUCCUAUUUUCUAGUUUGAAUUACAAUCAACAGAAAUAAAAAACACUAACUCAAGAAUCAAUAAUUGUGCUUUGUUUGAUUUUCAAGGUGGAUUUCGAGAAAGCCUAUGAUUCGGUGGAUUGGAGUUUUUUAGAGUGUCCGAAUUGGGUGGCUUGAAUGAAGGUGUGUGUGUGGGGGGGAAGUAUGUCGAUCCUUGUCAAUGGUAGCCCUACAAAGGAGAUUAAUAUUAAAAGAGGCCUUAAACAAGGAGAUCCCUUAGCUCCUUUUCUCUUUUUGCUAGUGGCGGAAGACUUUAGUAGGGUAAUGAGGAAUGUGGUUUCACUUAAUCUCUUUUAAGGGUUUGAGUUUAGAAGAAAUGGUUUAGUGGUUUCUCACCUACAAUAUGCCGAUGUCACUCUUUGUAUUGGUAAGGCAAUGGUUGAUAAUCUUUGAUCCUUGAAGACGGUGUUAAGAGGUUUUGAGACGGCGUCGCGUCUUAAGAUUAAUUUUUUUAAGAGAUGUUUGAUUGGUGUUAAUGUUCCAAAUGAUAUUUUGGAAAUGGCUUGUAAUUUCUUGAUUAUUUGGGGUUACCGGUUGGAGCUAAUCCGAGAAGUUUCAUGACUUGGGAGCCGUUGGUGGAGCAUUUGGGAAUCUUGGGGGGCAUAAAUACAUUAGUUUGGGAGGUAGGAUUAUCCUCCUAAAUUCGGUGUUAAAUGUGAUUCCUAUUUUCUACUUGUCUUUCUUGAAGAUGCCAGUGAAAGCUUGGCGGAGAAUAGUGAGAAUUCAAAGAGAAUUCCUUUGGGGAGGUGUGGGAGCCGGUAGAAAGAUUAGUUGGGUGAGAUGGAAAUGGGUUUGUCAACACAAGGAUAUAAUGGUGGUCUAGGUGUGCGCGAUGUUAGAAUCCUAAAUGUUAGGUUGUUGGCAAAGUGGAAGUGGAGGUUGUUGGAUGGGGAAGAAGCCUUAUGGAAGAAUGUUUUGGUGGAGAUAUAUGGUCCAAGUAUUACUAGGAUGUUGGAUGGUGGGAUGACUUAAAAUUGGAGGUGUGCUUCUCUUUGGUGGAAGGAUGUGGUAAAUUUAGAAAACUUUGGUGCCCAAGGGUGGUUUAAUUUGGAGUUAACUAGAAUCAUUGGCAAUGGAAGGAACUCUAGUUUUUGGAAUAUUAAGUGGCGAGGGGAUACAACUUUUAGGAGUAAAUACCCAAGACUCUUCUCGAUUUCAAACCAAAAAGAAUCGAUGGUAGGUGAUAUAGGGGAGGUGGUAGGCUCUUCAACGGAGUCGCGUUUUGAGUGGAGGCGGGACAUUUUUGAUUGGGAGGAGCAACUCUUCCAAAUCUAUUGCUAGAUUUGGAAGGUAUGUUUUGGUCUCAUGAGGAAGAUAGGUGGAAGUGGGGUUUGGAGGAGUCGGGGAUGUUUUCCGUUAAGUCAUCAUAUGGAAAAUUAGAGGGCAUUGUGUUGACGGAAGAUUUCUGGAGUGAGACGGACAAAAGAGUGUUUAGAAAAAUAUGGAAAAGUCCGGCACCUUCGAGGGUGGUGGCUUUCUCAUGGAAGCUCCUUUAUGAUAGAAUUCCAACAAAGGUUAAUCUCGCGGUUAGGAAUGUCUUACCCAUGGAGGCUUCUCGGUUGUGAGCUUUAUGUGAAAGGGUGGAUGAAUCCUCAACUCACCUUUUCCUUCAUUGUGAUGUAGCAGGUAGGGUGUGGCAAGGUAUUAUGCGGUGGUGGGAGAGGAUUCUCUUAAUUCCGCCUAAUUUAUUUGUGCAUUGGGAGUGUUGGGUUAGGGUGUGCGGAAUAAGAAAAUUUGUAAGGGCCUAAGACUCAUUUGGCAUGCAACGAUGUGGGUGUUGUGGAUUGCGAGGAACAAUAAAGUGUUUAAUACCCGGAACCCGGAUGUGGACGAAAUUGUGCAUGACAUCAAGAUUUUGCCGUGGCGUUGGUCUUUGUAGAGAAUCCCUAUGCCUACGUGCAUGUACUAUGAAUGGUGUUGGUGCUCAACGGAAUGUCUUUUGCGGCUGGUUUAGCUGGUAGGGGCUGGUUCGGUCUAGUGAGAGGGGGGCUGUUGUUAGUUUUCUAUAGCAGCUGCUGUUUGGUGCUGCGGUGUCUGCUAUUGUGCCCGAACAGCUGCUGUGGGGCAUCUGUUUUUGCUGUUCUGCUCUCGGCUCUGGGAGUGUUGGUGCGGUUGUGUGAGUCUGUGUAUAGUUUGAGCAAUGGCUGUGUAUUUUGGUGGUGUUUUGACUGGAUUACAGGCACAUAGCUUUUGCUUCUGUCACCUUGACAACAUGGUAUAAGAUUCAUUUUUUUUUUUGGCUUUCGCACCGGUUUCCGACCCACCAAAGGUGGGCGACUAAUCCGGCUCGUGCGUAGAGGCAUGCAUACUGGCCAAGCGUUGUUUCCCCUGGGAAUCGAACCCAGUAUUCCCCGGGUGCGUUCUUGAAAGGAGCUCCUUGCCACUGGAGCACAAGCAACUUAGUUGGUAUAAGAUUCAUUUUAGUCAUGUGGCACAAGAACUGUUUCUUUUUUUCUCAGAAAGGAAUUUUACACAAAAAUUAUCUGUCUGAUAGUAAAAAUAACAACCAAAUAACACCGUUAGUCUGAACAUCAUAGGAGAAGAAACAUCCGCUCUCAUUAUCGGUCCCUCACUUUCCCUUAUUUUUGUCAUGAUUACUUUUCUUUAUCAUCUUACUCCUACCACUGUGAUAUUAAAAAAGCAUUGUUGAUGGUUCUUCGUGACGUUAAAUAAAUUGGCACCAUUUAGGCAUUUUCCUUCAUAAGUUAGUAAUGCAUCUUCAACUUAUUACUAGUGCCCUGAAUAAUACCUUUUAGAAUUGGUUUCCUUCUUCUAGAUGAAUUCUUAUAUGUAUAUAUUAUGCUUUUGAUAGAAACAUGGCACACUUCACUUUCACCAAUAUUUUCAUUGUUUCUUUCGUAUGGGCCAAAUCAAGGAACCUGUAGGUUGGCUGUAAGAUUAUUUUCGCUAUUAUUUUCUAGAUGACCUUAAUAGUGUAGUUAUCUGUAAGAUUAAGAAAGUCCAAUUGCAAUGCUUAUAAUUUCAUUGAAGUACAAGGUUUGAGUACCAAUAAACAAAUGGGUUAUUAGUACCAAGAGAACCAUGAGAACAAUAUUGCCUAAUUUAAAUUACAAAAUCAAUAUGUUGUACAUAAACAACAGAACACAAUAUCUGAAAAUGUACUAAUUACACCCAACACUAACAUUAAUCAAUGACUUGACAUGUUCCUGGAGAUUAGAGAGGCUUGGGUUGCUCUUAUAGUGGUACAUGAGGGGAACCAUUCUUGCAGCAUUGAGACAAAAGUUGGAAAAUGACGAUGAAAACUGAUUUGCAACCAGAAUUUCUUGAUUGAGACAUUUCCAUUCAUUUGAAAUCAUGUGAGCAACAUGUCUUUGCACGUCUUCACCGGAAAUAUCUUGGUGUUCACUCAUGUAGCAAUCAAGGUAUGACCCAUCAAGACCAUUUUGCUCUCCACUCUGCAUUCAUUCAUGGAUAAUAAUUCUUAUCAUUAGAACUUUACAUUUUACAAUUGCGUUAAUUGGUUGAACAAUUUAAUCAAAUAUUUGUUUAAUAUAAUUUAGGAGACAUAUUUCAUACCUUAGCUCCUUCUAAAUCAUCAGAGAGACGAAGAAUUUUUGCCACUGAAUAUAUGACAUUUGGAAACUUUUCAUCCAAGAUAUCAAUUGU
Molecule: long non-coding RNA, 7202 nt
Filed under: Medicago truncatula (barrel medic)
Lineage: Eukaryota; Viridiplantae; Streptophyta; Magnoliopsida; Fabales; Fabaceae
Description: long non-coding RNA (MTRU_LNC000792)
Source: RNAcentral